This 1009-nucleotide long non-coding RNA is filed under the name Homo sapiens (human). RNAcentral describes it as "HSALNT0334330". Lineage: Eukaryota; Metazoa; Chordata; Mammalia; Primates; Hominidae. The record is from RNAcentral.
CCUUGUGACUUUGGCCAGGCACCAAUCAUCUGCCUCCUUCUGUGCCUGCCUGGCUGCCCCUACCCUGGGGCUCCCUCCUAGCCCCCACCUCACCUACUGGCUCACUGAGACAGAGCCAAACAUGAAAGGGAAGGUGACGGCCUGGCCAUAGGGCCCAGGAAAAUGCAGGUAUCAUUAACAGCCUGGAGCACUGUGGCCUGUCCACUCUCAACCCUCUGCUGCCCACCCCUUCCUGGAAUAGACCCCAGGCCACAUACAGAGGGGGCAAGCCCAAGGUAUGAUACCAGCAGGGCCAAGUGGACUGUCCAGAUGGGUAACGGGGGCCUGCCUUCCUCUGGCCUCCACAUAGGGGCCGCAGGUGUUCACAUGGUUGGAAAUGGGAGGGCCAAUGCUGUUCAUAGGCCGCUGUCUGGUCCACAGGACUCAACUGGCCCUCCGAACGCUAUCCCACUUUCCAGCCAGGAUUGAAGGAGAUCCCAUCUUGGGUCUAAAGGAAUGGGGGUGAAGACUGCAUCUUGUCGUUCCAGUUCCACCCCAUUCUGGCAUGGGAAGCAUGUGUGGGCUUCUACUCUAUGGGAGAUUCAUAGCCUCAAUCCUUAAGGAAUUCUCAAUCUGAAAGGAAAACACAAACCCUGACCUCAGGGAGCUCCCAGUUUGACAGUGGAGACAGAGAGGCCCUGCAUCAAGUAGAAAAACAACCCCCACUGCUCUCAAGCACACAGCAAUGAAGAUAUGUAUCCUUGGUGCUACAGGCAAAUGCUGACGAUACGACAGUGAAUACAACAUGAAAAAACAAGCACACUUCUCACCCCUAUGGAGCUUUAUUCUGGUCAGGCAGAAGGAGAAGGAAAUGUAAACAUGCAAGGAGCAACUUUUUGGCACUCCCAUUUUGCAGAAGAGGAAACAGCCUGCCUAGGUCUGCUGAUUCCUGUCCUGGAUGUGUCCCCAUCGUUAGGUGAUGCAUGACUCUACUCUGACAUCCUCUCCAGCUUUCAUCUGUUUUUAUUUU